RNAcentral lists this transfer RNA (67 nucleotides) under Stenocephalemys albipes (White-footed Stenocephalemys). RNAcentral describes it as "tRNA-Pro". Lineage: Eukaryota; Metazoa; Chordata; Mammalia; Rodentia; Muridae. The record is from RNAcentral.
CAAGAAGUAGUUUAAUAAGAAUAUCAGCUUUGGGUGUUGAUGGUAGGGAGGUAUUCCUUCUUCUUGA